RNAcentral lists this long non-coding RNA (970 nucleotides) under Equus caballus (horse). Its description in RNAcentral is "lncRNA (ENSECAG00000031622.2)". Lineage: Eukaryota; Metazoa; Chordata; Mammalia; Perissodactyla; Equidae. The record is from RNAcentral.
GCAAUCACCUUUUAAAAAUUAUUGUUUACUUCAUUCCUAUGUAGAGGGAUAUGACCACAAGGUCAUUUCACCAUAUUAUCAUCACUGAGAUCACAACUAAUUUUCAUGGAAGGACCAUCAGGUGGAGAGAUAAAGGCUUCCUGAGGAUACAGCAAUUCAGCGGAGACCUGGAGAUAAGAAGGAGGGCUACUGGAAAAUCUGAACCCACAAAUGUGGUUUGCAUAUUUCUAUUGGACAGCCCCGAACUAGCAAGAGCAUGGACACAGAGAUGAGAAAAUGGCCUGGACUGAGAUGCGGUAGAGGAUAAAACGUCAGAAACAAGGACAGAGGAGAAGGCUGAGGAACAGCAAAGUGCGUCCAUUUAAAGUUGAUUUUGAAGACCUAAGGCAAGGUGAAGGGAGGAGACAAGACAUGAGGACGCCAGAUGCCAACCUGAGACAGACUGUGGGGAAUCAGAGGAGACUUGACGGCCCAAAGACAGAAAGACUAGGACAAUCAUCUGGACUCCACAUGUGCAUGGAAUCAGCAAAUGUUUGCAUCUAUCAUAUCUACAUAGUGGAGAUCCUUUAAAAUGGCAUGAUACAGCACAUCUCCUCCCAACUCUGCCUUCAGUGACAUGAUGUUAUCUCAAGAUCAGCCACAGUGGGCGUAUUUACACCAUGGAAAUCAGCCAAUACUACAAAUCAGACUUUGACAUUGUUUUGUUGAUUGUCUAGACUUACAAAUGAUUAAGAAAGUGUUACUAAUGCAAAUUAAACUUAAAGAUACAUUGUGAUAAUAACGCUUGCAUUGUAAAUACAAAAAAUUGGGAAAAUAUUCUUCCAGUAUUUGAAAACUCCCAGUAUUUGAAAGUUGCUCACAUCAUUGAUGAACAAGUGGAAUUCUGACGUAUAUCUUCAUUGCUUGACUUUCAUUUUACUCAUUAACAUCAACAAACAUAUCAACCAACAUUCACAUUGGAACUAUGCUC